GUGAAUCAUCAAAUCUUUGAACGCAAAUUGCACUCUCCGGUUUUCCAGGAGAGUAUGCCUGUUUGAAGGUCAGCCUAAAAAAAAUCGACAUUGUUGCUGAUUUAUGGUGACUUUCGUCUGUGCUGGGUUAUCUUAACUCUAGUUUUAAGCAACUUAAAAAUUUUUUUUACGAUUCUAAGACUGUUUCUAAGAUUUUUCUUAUACGUUUACUGUAUCGAUUGUCUUAUUAAACGUGCCGGUCAUAUCGGUUCGUGUCCAUAUUUUUUACGUUUACUGACCUCAGACAGGUAAUAGUACCCG
This 300-nucleotide unclassified non-coding RNA is filed under the name Glomeraceae sp. Its description in RNAcentral is "partial contains 5.8S ribosomal RNA and internal transcribed spacer 2". The stretch from base 1 to 72 matches the Rfam family "5.8S ribosomal RNA", at positions 84 to 154 of the family's 154-position model. Lineage: Eukaryota; Fungi; Glomeromycota; Glomeromycetes; Glomerales; Glomeraceae. The record is from RNAcentral.